This 85-nucleotide transfer RNA is filed under the name Chlorobiales bacterium. It matches the Rfam family "tRNA". From Rfam's summary of the family: Transfer RNA (tRNA) molecules are approximately 80 nucleotides in length. Their secondary structure includes four short double-helical elements and three loops (D, anti-codon, and T loops). The record is from Rfam by way of RNAcentral. Lineage: Bacteria; Pseudomonadati; Chlorobiota; Chlorobiia; Chlorobiales.
GCCAAAGUGGCGGAACUGGCAGACGCACUAGACUCAAAAUCUAGCGUUCUUAACGAACGUGCGGGUUCGACUCCCGCCUUUGGUA